Molecule: ribosomal RNA, 447 nt
Filed under: uncultured organism
Description: partial 16S ribosomal RNA
Rfam family: Bacterial small subunit ribosomal RNA
Source: RNAcentral
CACUCCUGCGGGAGGCAGCAGUGGGGAAUAUUGGACAAUGGGCGCAAGCCUGAUCCAGCCAUGCCGCGUGAGUGAUGAAGGCCCUAGGGUUGUAAAGCUCUUUCACCGGUGAAGAUAAUGACGGUAACCGGAGAAGAAGCCCCGGCUAACUUCGUGCCAGCAGCCGCGGUAAUACGAAGGGGGCUAGCGUUGUUCGGAUUUACUGGGCGUAAAGCGCACGUAGGCGGACUAUUAAGUCAGGGGUGAAAUCCCGGGGCUCAACCCCGGAACUGCCUUUGAUACUGGUAGUCUUGAGUUCGAGAGAGGUGAGUGGAAUUCCGAGUGUAGAGGUGAAAUUCGUAGAUAUUCGGAGGAACACCAGUGGCGAAGGCGGCUCACUGGCUCGAUACUGACGCUGAGGUGCGAAAGCGUGGGGAGCAAACAGGAUUAGAUACCCGUGUAGUUCCA